UAGUCGAGUGAUUCAGGCAAAACGAGUCACGGCACACAGCUCAGUAACACGUGGCUAAUCUGCCCUUAGGACGAGAACAACCCCGGGAAACUGGGGCUAACUCUCGAUAGGCGAAGAACUCUGGAAUGAGUCUUUACCUAAAUAGCUGCACGUUAUCCUCGUGCAGUCGCCUAAGGAUGAGGCCGCGACCGAUCAGGUUGUUGGCGAGGUAAUGGCUCACCAAGCCUUUUACCGGUGCGGGCCGUGAGAGCGGGAGCCCGGAGAUGGGCACUGAGACAAGGGCCCAGGCCCUACGGGGCGCAGCAGUCGCGAAAACUUUGCAAUAAGCGAAAGCUUGACAGGGCUAUCCCGAGUGCCAUCCGCUGAGGAAGGCUUUUACCCAGUCUAGAACGCUGGGGGAAUAAGGAGAGGGCAAGUCUGGUGUCAGCCGCCGCGGUAAUACCAGCUCUCCGAGUGGUGUGGAUGUUUAUUGGGCCUAAAGCAUCCGUAGCUGGCUAGGUCAGUCCCUUGUUAAAUCCACCGAAUUAAUCGUUGGAUUGCGGGGGAUACUGCUUGGCUAGGGGACGAGAGAGGCAGACGGUAUUUUCGGGGUAGGGGUGAAAUCCUAUAAUCCCGGGAAGACCACCAGUGGCGAAGGCUGUCUGCUAGAACGCGCCCGACGGUGAGGGAUGAAAGCUGGGGGAGCGAACCGGAUUAGAUACCCGGGUAGUCCCAGCUGUAAACGAUGCAGACUAGGUGUUUGGACGGACACGUGCCGUUCUAGUGCCGCAGGGAAGCUGUUAAGUCUGCCGCCUGGGGAGUACGAUCGCAAGAUUGAAACUUAAAGGAAUUGGCGGGGGAGCACCACAAGGGGUGAAGCUUGCGGUUUAAUUGGAUUCAUCGCCG
Molecule: ribosomal RNA, 885 nt
Filed under: uncultured archaeon
Lineage: Archaea
Description: bacterial SSU rRNA
Rfam family: Archaeal small subunit ribosomal RNA
Source: RNAcentral